CUACGGGAGGCAGCAGUGGGGAAUAUUGGACAAUGGGGGCAACCCUGAUCCAGCAAUGCCGCGUGUGUGAAGAAGGUCUUCGGAUUGUAAAGCACUUUCACUAGGGAAGAUGAUGACGGUACCUAGAGAAGAAGCCCCGGCUAACUUCGUGCCAGCAGCCGCGGUAAUACGAAGGGGGCUAGCGUUGCUCGGAAUGACUGGGCGUAAAGGGCGCGUAGGCUGUUUGUACAGUCAGAUGUGAAAUCCCCGGGCUUAACCUGGGAACUGCAUUUGAUACGUGCAGACUAGAGUCCGAGAGAGGGUUGUGGAAUUCCCAGUGUAGAGGUGAAAUUCGUAGAUAUUGGGAAGAACACCGGUUGCGAAGGCGGCAACCUGGCUCGGAACUGACGCUGAGGCGCGAAAGCGUGGGGAGCGAACAGGAUUAGAUACCCUGGUAGUCCACGCUGUAAACGAUGUGUGCUGGAUGUUGGGUGAUUUUAUCAUUCAGUGUCGGAGCUAACGCGUUAAGCACACCGCCUGGGGAGUACGGCCGCAAGGUUGAAACUCAAAGGAAUUGACGGGGGNCCGCACAAGCGGUG
RNAcentral lists this ribosomal RNA (578 nucleotides) under Acetobacteraceae bacterium CS14. RNAcentral's name for it is "bacterial SSU rRNA". It matches the Rfam family "Bacterial small subunit ribosomal RNA", at positions 339 to 934 of the family's 1533-position model. Lineage: Bacteria; Pseudomonadati; Pseudomonadota; Alphaproteobacteria; Acetobacterales; Acetobacteraceae. The record is from RNAcentral.